AAAAACAAGAAAACGGGGUCGCGGGUCGGGGAUUUCAAUUCUCAUCGUUGCGUUUAACACAUGAUACUUCAUAUAUAAUUUUUCAUUCCGUCAGCACCUUACACUUUUAUCUCCGUUCCUACAUCCCUUAUUCGCCCGUCCUUUCUUUAUCCUGCACGCUGAAAAGGAUUUCGCAGAUAGCAUACCGACUGUCCUGCCGUUGAAAUAAAUUGUAUUUUGAAUAAGUUCAGACCGUUUACAAAAUGAACGUUUUUAUAUAAG
Cinara cedri is the source of this 261-nucleotide non-coding RNA. NCBI's taxonomy places the organism in Eukaryota, Metazoa, Arthropoda, Insecta, Hemiptera, Aphididae. The record is from the annotation of a GenBank genome assembly.